This 64-nucleotide transfer RNA is filed under the name Cherax monticola. RNAcentral's name for it is "tRNA-Ala". The record is from RNAcentral. Lineage: Eukaryota; Metazoa; Arthropoda; Malacostraca; Decapoda; Parastacidae.
UGGAAAUGUAGUCAACAAUGACAUAUGAUUUGCAUUCAUAAAGUGUUUAACAAAAACCUUUUUC